AGCGAACGCUGGCGGCAGGCUUAACACAUGCAAGUCGAGCGGGCGUAGCAAUACGUCAGCGGCAGACGGGUGAGUAACGCGUGGGAACGUACCUUUUGGUUCGGAACAACACAGGGAAACUUGUGCUAAUACCGGAUAAGCCCUUACGGGGAAAGAUUUAUCGCCGAAAGAUCGGCCCGCGUCUGAUUAGCUAGUUGGUGAGGUAAUGGCUCACCAAGGCGACGAUCAGUAGCUGGUCGAGAGGAUGAUCAGCCACAUUGGGACUGAGACACGGCCCAAACUCCUACGGGAGGCAGCAGUGGGGAAUAUUGGACAAUGGGGGCAACCCUGAUCCAGCGACGCCGCGUGAAGGACGAAGGUCUUCGGAUUGUAAACUUCUUUAGAGGGAUGAACUGGCUAUUGAAUAAAUAGCUUUGACAGUACUCUCUGAAUAAGCCACGGCUAACUACGUGCCAGCAGCCG
This 462-nucleotide ribosomal RNA is filed under the name uncultured bacterium. Its description in RNAcentral is "bacterial SSU rRNA". It matches the Rfam family "Bacterial small subunit ribosomal RNA", at positions 29 to 517 of the family's 1533-position model. The record is from RNAcentral.